RNAcentral lists this ribosomal RNA (433 nucleotides) under uncultured bacterium. RNAcentral's name for it is "partial 16S ribosomal RNA". It matches the Rfam family "Bacterial small subunit ribosomal RNA", at positions 29 to 507 of the family's 1533-position model. The record is from RNAcentral.
AACGAACGCUGGCGGCAUGCCUAACACAUGCAAGUCGAACGAGACCUUCGGGUCUAGUGGCGCACGGGUGCGUAACGCGUGGGAACCUGCCCUUAGGUUCGGAAUAACUCCCCGAAAGGGGUGCUAAUACCGGAUAAUGUCUUCGGACCAAAGAUUUAUCGCCUUUGGAUGGGCCCGCGUUGGAUUAGCUAGUUGGUAGGGUAAAAGCCUACCAAGGCGACGAUCCUUAGCUGGUCUGAGAGGAUGUUCAGCCACACUGGGACUGAGACACGGCCCAGACUCCUACGGGAGGCAGCAGUGGGGAAUAUUGGACAAUGGGCGAAAGCCUGAUCCAGCAAUGCCGCGUGAGUGAUGAAGGCCUUAGGGUUGUAAAGCUCUUUUACCCGGGAUGAUAAUGACAGUACCGGGAGAAUAAGCUCCGGCUAACUCCGUG